GAAGCUUCUGUCCAUACCUUGCAGAAAAUUCAUCAAAGUCUGAAAGGAGGUCACAGAUGCGAAGUCCUGUCCUCGCAGCUUUCGAAGAAACCUCAUAGCAGAAGAAUGCUGUGUGAGCAAAGUGCCAGCGGUCUGCCUGGAGCAGGGAUCCCAGCAUCCUCUCUUCUUGCUCUUUAGGCAGGCCUUGGCCCGUCUUGGGGCUGCACCAGAAUUACCACAGACCAGAGGCUCCUUCCAAAAGAAAAUGACUGGGCUUUGGGAGGAGAUGAGCCCUGUCAUGUCCCACCAAGGGACCUGAAGAGAGUCCAGAAUCAGGUGUCUACUCUCUUGAAGCUGGAAGCCAGAAGACCACACAGAAGAUCUCCCUUCUCUCAAGCUCUCACCAGCUCUGCCCCUCAUAAAAGUACAGAGCAUUGAGUGAUAGAUCUCCAUCAAUGAGGAAGUCUUAUGCAAAUGACCUUCGAGCCAGCCAUUGGAGGAAAUGAAGCCUGUUUUUCAUGUGGAUUGUCAGGUUUGGUGGAAUGGAAUAUAAGAUUAAAAUCCAGAAACAAAAAGUUGUGUUGCCAGAAGAAGCAAGGUUUACGUGUGUGUGGAGGAGAAGUAGGCAUAUAGAGCUACUAGACCAUAGCUCUACCAGG
Long non-coding RNA from Phascolarctos cinereus (koala), 638 nucleotides. RefSeq lists it as uncharacterized. Lineage: Eukaryota; Metazoa; Chordata; Mammalia; Diprotodontia; Phascolarctidae. The record is from RefSeq and is a predicted model, not a curated record.